GAUGAAGAACGCAGCGAAAUGCGAUACGUAAUGUGAAUUGCAGAAUUCAGUGAAUCAUCGAGUCUCUGAACGCACAUUGCGCCCCCUGGUAUUCCGGGGGGCAUGCCUGUCCGAGCGUCAUUGCUGCCCUCAAGCACGGCUUGUGUGUUGGGCCUCCGUCCUCCUCCCGGGGGACGGGCCCGAAAGGCAGCGGCGGCACCGCGUCCGGUCCUCGAGCGUAUGGGGCUUCGUCACCCGCUCUUGUAGGCCCGGCCGGCGCUUGCCGACACAUCAAUCUUUUUUCCAGGUUGACCUCGGAUCAGGUAGGGAUACCCGCUGAACUUAAGCAUAUCAAUAAGCGGAGGA
RNAcentral lists this unclassified non-coding RNA (345 nucleotides) under soil metagenome. RNAcentral's name for it is "partial contains 5.8S ribosomal RNA, internal transcribed spacer 2, and large subunit ribosomal RNA". The stretch from base 1 to 120 matches the Rfam family "5.8S ribosomal RNA", at positions 35 to 154 of the family's 154-position model. The record is from RNAcentral.